This 1508-nucleotide long non-coding RNA is filed under the name Delphinapterus leucas (beluga whale). RNAcentral's name for it is "lncRNA (ENSDLEG00000001468.1)". Lineage: Eukaryota; Metazoa; Chordata; Mammalia; Artiodactyla; Monodontidae. The record is from RNAcentral.
AUGCGCAACACAGCCGCGUCCGCUACUCGCGGCCGACGCGUGCACCGAGCCUGGACGCCUCCGCGACGCGAGCAAGCUGCACCUGCGCAGUUCGAGCCGGCCAAUCCAGGUCCGGGCUGGAUUCGGUGGCGGGAGCGGUGGGUCGGACGGCCUGAGAGGGCGGGGCGAGUGCAAGUUCUGGGUCGCAAGGUCGGGGUGUUAAGGAGCGUGGCAGAGACGACGCGAACGGACGAGGCAGGAAGCAGCUGUCUGCCCGGCCCCCCGCGGCGAGCAGUCCCAGGAUGCUCCGCGCCGCACCGCGCCUGGCCCCGGACUCCAUUUCCCAGCAGCCACUGCGGCUGGCGCCGACAGCCUGCCCGAGCGCUUUGGCCCCUUUGUGAGUCCGCCCGUCGGGCCCGAGAUCGAGUCCACGCCCCGGCCGCAGAGCGCUCAGCUCCCAGCCUCCGCGAACGGUGCGGAGCGAAGUGCCGACUCUCGGGGAGAAGGCGCUCUGUUUUCUCUGGACACUGCCCUUCUCCCAAAGAGAAGCCAGAAGGUGGAGGACAGAAGGGCUGUCCUAAAUUCUUAAAGCCAUGUCUGAGGUAAGGAAGCUUUUCUACUCUCUUCUCUGAAAUGCCUUGUUUUUCAGAUUUUAUAUGAACAUUUUGCUUUUCUUCUGAAAUUUCCCAUUCUAAAAUUCCAUUCAUUCAGUGACCUGGUCCUCAUGUUCUCCAGUCUAGUAAAAGGAGGUCCCCCCAAACCCACUGAGCCUCUUUUUUUUCUCAGCCAGAAUUUUCAUCUUCAUUCAAGAAACAGUUUAGCACUUCCUGCGGGUUAGGUGUUCUGUUGGGAGGUCUCAAGAGGCAAAAAUACACUCCUUGGUGGAAUCUGAAAGUCUUCCCUGUAGGGAAGUGAAGUGAUUCACUGAGGUCAAGGUGGGUGUUCAGAUGUGACCAACAGUUUAGAGCUUUUCCACAGACCUGGGUUUGAAAAGUAGACAGGGACUACUUGGGGAAGUCUUAGUUGUAGUAUUGAUACAUGACAGGGUUGCUUGCUCAAGGUGAUUUUGAGGAGUGGGAUUUGUUGUGUCUUGAGUAUUAAAGUGUGGGUCAGCUAGGGCAGGAGUGUUUUUCAGGCAUUCUGCAGGCACUGAAGAGUAGGAUUCCAUGGGGGUAAUGAGGUCCUUUUCUAGGGAUAUCCUGACUUAGUAGCUGGUUACAGCUAAAAUAUUCUAGAUCAUGCAGUAAAGAUUAGAGGAGUUAAUAUGGAAAAAUAGCAGGGAAUUUUUUGAAAAAGGAGAAUAGUAGGGAGUAUUGAAUCUACAUAAAAAAAUGGCUAAAUACAUCUGUAAUAACAAAUCGUAAAUAGUAAAUAACAAAAAUAGUAUAGAAUGAGAGCCAGAAGAAAUAAAUGAAAAAAUCAGCAUAUAAUAUCCAGAAACAAAUGCAAAUAUGAAUAAGAAUAGAAAAUAUUUAUUCAUUCACUGAACAUAUAGUUAUUAAAGACUUACUAUAUAUUAACUGCUGGCA